GGGCCCGCACAAGCGGUGGAGCAUGUGGUUUAAUUCGAAGAUACGCGCAGAACCUUACCAACGCUUGACAUGUUCGUCGCGACUCUAAGAGAUUAGAGUUUUCGGUUCGGCCGGACGAAACACAGGUGCUGCAUGGCUGUCGUCAGCUCGUGUCGUGAGAUGUUGGGUUAAGUCCCGCAACGAGCGCAACCCUCACUUUUAGUUGCCAUCAUUAAGUUGGGCACUCUGAAAGAACUGCCAGUGAUAAGCUGGAGGAAGGUGGGGAUGACGUCAAGUCCUCAUGGCCCUUACGUGUUGGGCUACACACGUGCUACAAUGGUAUCUACAACAGGAAGCAAAACGGCAACGUUAAGCAAAUCCCGAAAAGAUACCUCAGUUCGGAUUGCACUCUGCAACUCGAGUGCAUGAAGCUGGAAUUACUAGUAAUCGUGGAU
RNAcentral lists this ribosomal RNA (434 nucleotides) under uncultured bacterium. Its description in RNAcentral is "bacterial SSU rRNA". It matches the Rfam family "Bacterial small subunit ribosomal RNA", at positions 917 to 1349 of the family's 1533-position model. The record is from RNAcentral.